GACGAACGCUGGCGGCGUGCUUAACACAUGCAAGUCGAACGAAGAUAUGUUGAAAGCUUGCUGAUGCAUAUUUUAGUGGCGGACGGGUGAGUAACGCGUGAGGACUUGUCUAGUACAGGGGGACAACAGUUGGAAACGGCUGCUAAUACCCCAUAAGCCUAAGGGUAAAAGGAGCAAUCCGGUACAUGAGAGACUCGCGUCCUAUCAGCUAGUAGGUGGGGUAACGGCCCACCUAGGCGAAGACGGGUAGCCGGCCUGAGAGGGCGAACGGCCACACUGGAACUGAGACACGGUCCAGACUCCUACGGGAGGCAGCAGUGGGGAAUAUUGGGCAAUGGAGGGGAACUCUGACCCAGCGACGCCGCGUGAGUGAAGAAAUCCCUCGGAUGUAAAGACUCUGUUGUGUUGGGAAGAGUAAUGACGGUACCACACGAGGAAG
RNAcentral lists this ribosomal RNA (439 nucleotides) under uncultured bacterium. Its description in RNAcentral is "bacterial SSU rRNA". It matches the Rfam family "Bacterial small subunit ribosomal RNA", at positions 28 to 490 of the family's 1533-position model. The record is from RNAcentral.